CUACGGGUGGCACCAGUGGGGAAUAUUGCACAAUGGGCGCAAGCCUGAUGCAGCAACGCCGCGUGAAUGAAGAAGGUCUUCGGAUCGUAAAGUUCUUUUCUUAGGGAAGAAAAAUGACGGUACCUAAGGAAUAAGCACCGGCUAAAUACGUGCCAGCAGCCGCGGUAAUACGUAUGGUGCAAGCGUUAUCCGGAAUCACUGGGCGUAAAGGGAGCGUAGGCGGCUUUGCAAGUCAGAAGUGAAAGGCUACGGCUCAACCGUGGUAAGCUUUUGAAACUGCAAGGCUAGAGUGCAGGAGAGGCAAGUGGAAUUCCUAGUGUAGAGGUGAAAUUCGUAGAUAUUAGGAGGAACACCAGUGGCGAAGGCGACUUGCUGGACUGUAACUGACGCUGAGGCUCGAAAGCGUGGGGAGCGAACAGGAUUAGAUACCCCUGUAGUC
This 439-nucleotide ribosomal RNA is filed under the name uncultured bacterium. Its description in RNAcentral is "partial 16S ribosomal RNA". It matches the Rfam family "Bacterial small subunit ribosomal RNA", at positions 339 to 795 of the family's 1533-position model. The record is from RNAcentral.